UACGUAGGGUGCGAGCGUUGUCCGGAAUUAUUGGGCGUAAAGAGCUCGUAGGCGGUGUGUCACGUCGGCCGUGAAAACCUGCAGCUUAACUGUGGGCGUGCGGUCGAUACGGGCAUCACUGGAGUUCGGCAGGGGAGACUGGAAUUCCUGGUGUAGCGGUGAAAUGCGCAGAUAUCAGUAGGAACACCGGUGGCGAAGGUGGGUCUCUGGGCCGGUACUGACGCUGAGACGCGAAAGCGUGGGGAGCGAACAGG
This 254-nucleotide ribosomal RNA is filed under the name uncultured bacterium. RNAcentral describes it as "partial 16S ribosomal RNA". It matches the Rfam family "Bacterial small subunit ribosomal RNA", at positions 524 to 776 of the family's 1533-position model. The record is from RNAcentral.